Xenopus laevis (African clawed frog) is the source of this 9289-nucleotide long non-coding RNA. RefSeq lists it as uncharacterized. The transcript has 2 exons. Lineage: Eukaryota; Metazoa; Chordata; Amphibia; Anura; Pipidae. The record is from RefSeq and is a predicted model, not a curated record.
UCAGUGAUCCCAAUGUUAUUAAUAGGGAAUAAAGAUAAAUAUAUAGGAAGGUCAGUGAUCCCAAUGUUAUUAAUAGGGAAUAAAGAUAAAUAUAUAGGAAGGCCGGGGUAUUUCCCUAGUUAUGAGGAGUUGUUAGUGUCAGUAGAAACACAAUAAGACAUGAGUUACUGAUGCUGCAGUUACAGAGGGGCCAAUGUGCAAUAUAAAUAAAUAAAUAGAAAAAAGAAAAUGAUUUCACACUUACCGAAAUUUUCUUUUCCUAGCCAUCCUCCCCAUCAACAGAGAAAAAACUGAUGGGUUAACUCUUGCUACUCCCAGCCUGGACAGAAACAGUUAAUUUUUAAACCUAUAAAGCCCUCCUCUUCCUGGCUCACAACAGCCAAUUAUAAAGCAAUAUAUAGGGUGGGUAUGUUGACAAGGAUGACCAGGAAAAUAAAAUUUCAAUAAGUAUGAAAUAAUUUUCUUUUUUCCUGGCCAUCCUCCCUUCAACAUAGAAAAAAAUGAUGGGUUAUACCCAAGCAAUCAAGAAAACACAAGGGAGGGAACACUAUGCUAAAUUAUUUAUUUUGCAGAACAUGUAGACAAAAGAAUGGAUUGACCAAACUGGGCUUGUGAGGAAGACAAAACAUCUAAUCUGUAAUACCUAAUGAAAGUGUUAGGAGUGACCCUGGUUGCUGCUUUACAUAUCGCCUCGGAGGAGGUUCCUGCUUCUGCUGCCCAAGAGGCUGCCAUACCUCGUGUGGAAUGUGCCUUAACUCCCUCAGGUAAUGCUCUGCCCUGUUGUUGAUAGGCCUUGGAUAUGGUUUUAGUUACCCAGGAACUUAAAGUGGACCUAGAAGCUGGUUCUCCUUUUCUUUUUCCUGCUGGAAUAACGAAUAACAUUCUGGAUUUUCUGAUAUCCUUUGUUCUUUUAAUGUAAAUUUCUAGACAUCUUUUAACAUCUAGCGUAGCUAAAUCUUCUUGAGAAGAUGAAGGUGUCUCAAACACCGGCAAAGCAAUGGGCUCAUUUAUAUGGAAUUUUGAGACAACCUUAGGAAGGAAACUGAGAAUUGGUCUAUGAGUUCCCUUUUUAUCAUGAAAGACAGUAUAAGAAGGAUCCACAGAGAGAGCUUGGAGUUCACAAAUCCAUCUAGCUGAUUUGAUAGCUAUCAGAAAGAAGGUUUUUAAGGUUAAUAGCCACAGAGAUACCUUUUCCAAUGGUUCAAAAGGCGGAGACACAAGAGACUUCACAACUAAUGGGAGAUCCCAGGUUGGGUGAACAGCUUUGACAGGAGGUCGAAUUCUUACAACUGCUUUGAAGAAUCUCGCAAUUAGAGGAUCAUUAGACCAUCUACUCUCCAAUAUGGCCGAUAAAGCAGAAACUUGCCCCUUUAGCAUACUUAAGCUCAAACUUUUUGGAGGCCUACUUAGAGGAAUUCUAAAAUAUCAACAACCGAAUGUGUUAAUGGAUUAAUAUGCUUCUCAGAGUACCACGAAGAAAAAAUCUCCCAAACUUUAUGGUAUUUAGCCACUGUAUUGAUUUUUCUGGCCUUGAUGAGUGUAUCGAUAACUGAAUCCGAACAUCCGUAUCCUUUCAGGAUCCUCCUCUCAACCUCCAAGCCAUUAAUCUGAGGUUCUCCUCGGCUUCAGAUGAUUCCGUCUGCCCUGAAAAAGAAGAUUCCUGGAUAGCGGAAGUGGCAAUCGGUCCACUAUCAGAAGGCUCUUCCAAAGUGGAUGCCAGGGUCUCCUUGGCCAAUCUGCAGAAAUAGCAAUGACCUCCAUCCUUGUUACUCAGAUUUUCCUCAAGACUCUCAGGAUUACUGGGACAGGAGGGAAAACAUAAGCAAAUAGGCCCUCCCAACUCUGAGAGAAGGCAUCCACAGCUUCCGUGCCCAGACAAGGAGCUCUGGAGAAGAACACUGGUAGUUUGGUGUUCACAUCUGUUGCCAUCAAAUCCACUUGUGGACGACCCCAAUUGGAAGUUAUCCACGCAAAAAUCUUCUGAUUCAACUCCCAUUCUCCUAAGGAUAGGAGAUGUCGACUGAGGAAAUCCGCAUGCUUGUUCUGGACUCCCGGAACAUACUGAGCCGUCAAAUCUUGAAGAUGACCUUGAGCCAAAUCCAAAAUUGGGAUUGUUUCCAUGAAUAAAGUCUUGAUUUACGUUGCUCCUUGUUCCCUUAUGUAUGCUGCAGCUGCUGCAUUGUCCGUUCUGACUUUCACCGCAGCUCCUAGGAGUACUUUCUUGAAAGACUGAAGAGCCUGGAAAAGCCAGUACAUUGGAAGGGUUCUUCUGCUCGGGAAGGGAAGGAGCAAUCGUCCCCGUAUCGUAUGUCAGAGACAAUGUCGCUACCCGACACCCCCGGGGCACAGGCAGGUAGGUGGUACAUAUACACUCUGGGCACAAUAUUAUGGGGGCAGUUUAUAUUUCUCCUCUGUACCUCCAUUCUGUUGUGUAAACCAACUACCCCUGCUGGUUAGCCAGAAUCCGUGGCUCCAUAUUUUCCACUAGGUAUAUAACAUUGAGCCUGUUCUAUAUAGGUAUAAUGCUACCCUUGUGCUGGUGGGGGAUGCUGGGAUUUGUAGUUAAACAGCUGAAUAGGCCAUGUCUCUAUACCUGCUCAGUACUAUGGCAACCGGCUUUCCUACAGUGUCUGUCACAUUGCAGGUGGGGAAAAUUUUUUGCUCCUCGGUCUCCUCGUACAUGUGGGAUGGGCGCCUCCUGCAGAUGGAAUCCAAGGUACAGCUGAGCAUGAUGGGAUAUUUGGGAAUGUGUCAUGUGACUGGCAGAAAGGGUGAGAGUUGGACUAGUGCUGAAGGGGAAUAUAAUAUGAUUCAGUAUAUACAGGGUUAAGUGGGCAGGGCUGUGGGGCCAGAGUUCACUGUGAGAGAGGAGGCGGAGCAGACUUUAGAGGAGGGGCCAGUUGUACAGUGUCAAUGGGAAAAGGUGGGAUGAAGUUUCCAUUGGAGAUAGGGUCAGUGUAAUAUAUGGGGGAGGAAGCCCUGUGUUUAGAGAGGGGGUAUUGGCUAGAGGUGUAUGAGGCCGUUUGGGACAUUGAGUACAAUGGGGGGAGGGGGGUCACAGCACUGUCAUAGAUUGGGGAGAGGACCUUGUUAGUAACAUCACUCUGUUCCUUCCAGGAGGAAGAAGAUGAGGAUGAACUUGUUGCCUUGGAUGAGACCUUCUCCAGGUCAGUUCCUUGGGUCCAUACUCAUUGCCGCUCUAUAGACCACCAGGAUGGUGGGGGGGUAACUUUGCUUCAGGGGCUUCCCAAUUGCCAUUCAGGAAGGAGCAUUGCUGGGAGUAUCUGGCAGGCAGAUGUUAUACUUAUAGUUUGAGGUUUCACUAAUUAUCUGGCCAAAAGCUUCAUAUUUACCCCCCCCGUCUCUCAAUGUCAUUAAUGUUGAUUUAUAUUCUGUAUCUGGGCCCCUGCCAUAGGCACAUUUAUGUUUCCAUAUUUAACAAAUAAACACAGGGUCUGGUGUUCAUCACUGUUGUUAUAUAUAGAAAGUGUGGCACAGUGUCUGGGAAAAGACUAGAGGGAAGGUUCUCUCAGGAUGCUCUAUGACACACGGGAAGAAUAAUAUGUAAGAAUAAUAUAAUAGGCUGUGAGUUGUGAGGCUGUUACUGAUGAGCCAUACCCUGGGGAGGAGAGGUCUCUGGCAGAAAAGCGAGUUAUGAGGUGGAGAAGAAACCCCUGAGAGACCCAAGACUGGUGCAGAACAGAUAUGUGUGAGAGAACCAAGACUGGUGCAGAACAGAUACAUGUGAGAGACCCAAGAGUGGUGCAGAACAGAUAUGUGUGAGAGACCCAAGACUGGUGCAGAACAGAUAUGUGUGAGAGACCCAAGACUGGUGCAGAACAGAUAUGUGUGUGAGACCCAAGACUGGUGCAGAACAGAUAUGUGUGAGAGACCCAAGAGUGGUGCAGAACAGAUAUGUGUGAGAGACCCAAGACUGGUGCAGAACAGAUAUGUGUGUGAGACCCAAGACUGGUGCAGAACAGAUAUGUGUGAGACCCAAGACUGGUGCAGAACAGAUAUGUGUGAGAGACCCAAGACUGGUGCAGAACAGAUAUGUGUGAGACCCAAGACUGGUGCAGAACAGAUAUGUGUGAGAGACCCAAGACUGGUGCAGAACAGAUAUGUGUGUGAGAGACCCAAGACUGGUGCAGAACAGAUAUGUGUGUGAGACCCAAGACUGGUGCAGAACAGAUAUGUGUGAGAGACCCAAGACUGGUGCAGAAAAGAUAUGUGUGUGAGACCCAAGACUGGUGCAGAACAGAUACGUGUGAGAGACCCAAGACUGGUGCAGAACAGAUACGUGUGAUAGACCCAAGACUGGUGCAGAACAGAUAUGUGUGAGAGACCCAAGACUGGUGCAGAACAGAUAUGUGUGAGAGACCCAAGACUGGUGCAGAACAGAUACGUGUGAGAGACCCAAGACUAGUGCAGAACAGAUGUGUGAGAAACCCAAGACUGGUGCAGAACAGAUAUGUGUGAGAGACCCAAGACUAGUGCAGAACAGAUGUGUGAGAGACCCAAGACUGGUGCAGAACAGAUAUGUGUGUGAGAGACCCAAGACUGGUGCAGAACAGAUACGUGUGUGAGACCCAAGACUGGUGCAGAACAGAUACGUGUGUGAGACCCAAGACUGGUGUAGAACAGAUAUGUGUGAGAGACCCAAGACUGGUGCAGAACAGAUAUGUGUGAGACCCAAGACUGGUGCAGAACAGAUACGUGUGUGAGACCCAAGACUGGUGCAGAACAGAUACGUGUGUGAGACCCAAGACUGGUGCAGAACAGAUACGUGUGUGAGACCCAAGACUGGUGCAGAACAGAUACGUGUGUGAGACCCAAGACUGGUGCAGAACAGAUACGUGUGUGAGACCCAAGACUGGUGUAGAACAGAUAUGUGUGAGAGACCCAAGACUGGUGCAGAACAGAUAUGUGUGUGAGACCCAAGACUGGUGCAGAACAGAUAUGUGUGAGACCCAAGACUGGUGCAGAACAGAUAUGUGUGUGAGACCCAAGACUGGUGCAGAACAGAUAUGUGUGAGAGACCCAAGACUGGUGCAGAACAGAUAUGUGUGUGAGAGACCCAAGACUGGUGCAGAACAGAUAUGUGUGAGAGACCCAAGACUGGUGCAGAACAGAUAUGUGUGUGUGAGACCCAAGACUGGUGCAGAACAGAUACGUGUGUGAGACCCAAGACUGGUGUAGAACAGAUAUGUGUGAGACCCAAGACUGGUGCAGAACAGAUAUGUGUGUGAGACCCAAGACUGGUGCAGAACAGAUACGUGUGUGAGAGACCCAAGACUGGUGCAGAACAGAUAUGUGUGUGUGAGACCCAAGACUGGUGCAGAACAGAUAUGUGUGAGACCCAAGACUGGUGUAGAACAGAUAUGUGUGUGAGAGACCCAAGACUGGUGCAGAACAGAUAUGUGUGUGAGAGACCCAAGACUGGUGCAGAACAGAUACGUGUGUGAGAGACCCAAGACUGGUGCAGAACAGAUAUGUGUGAGAGACCCAAGACUGGUGCAGAACAGAUAUGUGUGUGAGACCCAAGACUGGUGCAGAACAGAUAUGUGUGUGAGAGACCCAAGACUGGUGCAGAACAGAUACGUGUGUGAGAGACCCAAGACUGGUGCAGAACAGAUAUGUGUGAGAGACCCAAGACUGGUGCAGAACAGAUACGUGUGUGAGAGACCCAAGACUGGUGCAGAACAGAUAUGUGUGAGAGACCCAAGACUGGUGCAGAACAGAUACGUGUGAGACCCGUGUGCCAGGGAACUAGUCUGUUCUGCUUAAUGGACAAACACUGUGAUUUGCUGUUACUUUUGUUACUCACUAUUACCAUUUACUUCUCUCUUGAAACCUCCAUUGUGAAUAAAACAGGCAGAUUUCUGUUUUAAGUUACCCUGGAUGACACUGCCUUUUACUACUUUGAAAAGUUAUUACCAUGUCUGAUAUUUGAGCAAAUUCCCACUAAAGCCAAUUGGAAAGAGAAUAUUAUGUUACUUAGGCUGCAGUUGUAUAGUAAGUCUCUCUCAGAGCCAGUGCCAGAUAGUCUGCAAGAGAUCAGCUGCAUGGAAUAUAGAUGGUAUUAGAUUCAUUUUCUGUUUGGGAAACAGUAUUGUGGGUCAUGGUGCCAAGUAACCCCAGUAUAAUGUUAUACAGGGAGAGAGUACUGUUAUACAGGGAGAGAGUAAUGUUAUACAGGGAGAGCAUUAUGGUAUAGAGGAGGAGAGCAUUAUGUUAUACACGCAGGAGGAGCAAUUCAUAACUAUCUCAGACCCCUGAUUAUUGGUUUACUCCGAGCUCCUCUGCACUUCAACAGAGCUCUCGCCUCAUCUUCUGAGCAUCUAAUCUCAGGCUUUUCUGGGUUAGAGUAAAGCUCAUACUUGAUGAUACUUUGCACUCAUGGACUGGAAUAGGACUAACUGUUGUCACCAGCUAAACACAGACCUUACUACUGACCUUGCUAAGAACUCUAAUCACUAACUGCCGGCUUGUCUGUGUUUUCUGGUAGAGCUUCACUUUCUGCCUGCAGGGUCCUUGUGGAGCAGAAUGCUUACCUGGUUGCUUCAGUCUUCUUGGAAGUGAUGUUCACAUCAGUGCCAACUUCAUCUGGGCUCGAUUAGAUAUUCCACAUACUAUAUCCAUUCUCCUCUUAUGUAGAGCAGAGCUUUCACUUUGCCUCGGACCCAUGUAGGCUCUAUCCUGCUGUCUCCAAGCUCUUCUCAUAUAAAUGGAAAUAGUUGAUGUCCCCUAAACCCUUGUUUGUGUGGUUUGGAGAAUCUGCCCAUCAUACAGGCAAGACUGGCUAAAGGCCGAAGGUGUUCCACUUGAAAGUGAGUGUUUUGUACAUUAGUCUGCCCCAUAUGCAGUAAACCCAAGGGGUGCCUUUCAGACAGAAAGCUGUAUAUUGUGUUAAUGGUGGAUAUAGAAUAGGGAAAAGGAUGUAUCAGUUCCCCCAUAUUGACUUUGUAUUUGGGCAGGUCGGCCCAUUGUGUUCCUAGACACAUCCACAUGGUUUACUGUAUUUGCAGAUUAUAUCUGUAGGUCUGGGUAUAAAGCAUUGAAUGCACUGUGAUAUAAACACCCUGUACCCCGACAUAUCUGAGGGCCCCCCUCUUCUGCAGUGGUGCUAAUGGUUUCUAUGUAGGAGACCUGACUUAUUUUAUACUGAUUGUAACCAGUUGCUGCUAAUUUUGCCAUAAAUUAUUUGUUCUCUACUUAUUUCCUCUGUGUCUUUUCUCUGCAUGUGCCACCCUCUUUCUGUCAGCACCCAGUUACACAACUAAAGUAGGUUUUGGUGCACCCAUCUUUAUGUAUGUGGGCAGGACCCAAUCACCCAGUUACAAAUUAAAGGCUCAUAGGUGUAUGUGUGCACCUGUCUAUAAGCUAUAAGUGUGUGGGCAGAUCCAAGCACCCAGUUACACAGCUAACAUAGGUUUGUGUGCACCCAUAUAAAUGCAUUCAAGGGGGGGGUGGACCCAAACACCCAGUUGACCUAUGUGUGUGUGUGUGUAUUAGUGUGAUCCUGUUGCAUGGGCCAGCUUGUAACCCUCAGGAGCCACAGUCUAAUCUACAGACCAGGUGCAUUUGGGCCAAUGAACAUAUUGUUUAGUUGGCGGCAGGCUGGACUUUACCCACUUCCCUCUGCACCAAUGACCCCUCAGACAUUCAUCAUCCAGCCGUCUAUACCACUAUUCAUGUACAUUUUCACCUGCUACACCCACUCUAAAUAAGUAUUGAUGGCGUGUCAGGUCCAGUUGGGUCCAUGUUGGGUUUAGGGUCAGGCACAGGCUGUUUGCCAACCCAGCCUACCUUAAGUCGAGUGUGAGGAGUGGAGCACCCAGUUCGCCUAAAUUUGCGGGGCUGAGUGAAGAGCAGUUGUACAGUGGUUACAGAGUGGGUGCAAAAGACGGUCAUAAAACCAUUUGUGAAAUAAAUAAUUUAGGUUAUUUAUGUAAAGAAGAACUUUAUGGGAGAAAAGAGUUUGAAGGGAAAGUUUUGCAGCCGGGACAUGAAAAAUGGGACAAUUUCAUCAUGAGAGGAAACUGAAUGUGAUGGUUUUGCAUUAAUUUAGGGGAUAGGGUUUAAGAGUUUUUGGUUCCAGAACUCUAAUAGAUGGUUAGGGCCACUUUGCUUAUAACAAGGUUAUAGACCUGCAUUGGCUGUGCACAGGUCCAGACUGGCAUUCCAAAUAAACAGAGGCCUAAAUAGUCCUCCACCAAACCACUGAAUAGUGACUGUCUAUGGCACCUUACAGCAGCCCCUCUGGCAUUUGCCAGAACCCACAGAUUGCCAGUCCGGGCCUGCCUGUGCAGUCACAGUGCCAAGAACAUCCAUCUAGGACAGCAAAUACAUGCUCAAAACCAGAUCCCACCCUAAUUAACUUUCAAGCUAGGCACCCAUGAUCACAUCUCACUCUUAAUGGCCUUGAACCUGGUCACCCUUGGGGGGAGGGGGGAUAAUUGUUUAUGGGUGCCACCAUGAGAGAAUGGCACUUAGAUUGAGAGGGAACAGAGGUGAAGAUGUCAUGUCACAACUAAUGAACAACAUUAACUGUAGAAACAUUAUGGGAGUAACAUCAGAAAAGAGUUGAUUGUAAGAGUGGAAUAGUCAAACAGAAUCAAAAUGGUAACAUUGUAAAAUUGCAGCAGUUUAUAUUUAUAUAGUUUCACAUUAUGGUGGUGGACAUAAAUGAGUAGACAUUCCAAAGACCAGUAUGGUGCUAAACAGUAGAACAUUGGAACAUAGCACAGUAUAUCAUAUGGCAAGAGUAAAAUCAAUGGGAUCCCAGCAGAAUGCAGCAAUGGAACAGUUUGUCACAUGUCAGGGCAGCUAGAGCAGUUCUAUUAACUGAAGAACAGAACCUUGAAGAAAUGGUGAAUGGGAACUGAUAUCUACAGACAGGAUUGGGAAAUGAGUAUGAAGGACACGAGCAGAUCAGUAGGGAGAGUGCCCAUACAGAGGUUCAUGAGUCCAUCAAGACUGAUAAAAUUCUCUCCCAACAGCUUUGCAAGGGGGCCUCCUAUACAGGGCCCAAGAACUUGUACUUGUUUGUCAGCCCUAAGGAUUCACAAUCAGACCCAUAUUUGAGAGUGGAUCUUGCCAUGGGCAGGUUUAACCAUGAAAUAAUGUGAUGUAGAACUAUGAAAACAAGAAUUGGACAUGUUGUGACAUUAUUACAUGUUGUGACAACUUAGGGGCACAUUUAUCAUAGUUAGAGGUCUAAGAUUUCACUUUAAUAAGGCUAAUGGGAUUUUUGAAUGAUUGGCCAAGUUUUCAUUUUCCAAAAAUC